GAUGAACGCUAGCGGCAGGCUUAACACAUGCAAGUCGAGGGGUAGAAGGAGCUUGCUCCUUUGAGACCGGCGCACGGGUGCGUAACGCGUAUGCAAUCUACCUUUUGCAGAGGGAUAGCCCAGAGAAAUUUGGAUUAAUACCUCAUAGUAUGUGAGGAUGGCAUCAUUUUCACAUUAAAGUCACAACGGCAAAAGAUGAGCAUGCGUCCCAUUAGCUAGUUGGUAAGGUAACGGCUUACCAAGGCUACGAUGGGUAGGGGUCCUGAGAGGGAGAUCCCCCACACUGGUACUGAGACACGGACCAGACUCCUACGGGAGGCAGCAGUGAGGAAUAUUGGACAAUGGGCGCAAGCCUGAUCCAGCCAUGCCGCGUGCAGGAUGACGGUCCUAUGGAUUGUAAACUGCUUUUGUACUAGGAAGAAACAACUACUUACGGUGAAAGUAGACCUUGAACGGUACUGUAAGAAUAAGG
This 472-nucleotide ribosomal RNA is filed under the name uncultured bacterium. RNAcentral's name for it is "bacterial SSU rRNA". It matches the Rfam family "Bacterial small subunit ribosomal RNA", at positions 28 to 491 of the family's 1533-position model. The record is from RNAcentral.